RNAcentral lists this ribosomal RNA (732 nucleotides) under uncultured bacterium. Its description in RNAcentral is "bacterial SSU rRNA". It matches the Rfam family "Bacterial small subunit ribosomal RNA", at positions 773 to 1505 of the family's 1533-position model. The record is from RNAcentral.
CAGGAUUAGAUACCCUGGUAGUCCACGCCGUAAACGAUGUCGACUUGGAGGUUGUGCCCUUGAGGCGUGGCUUCCGGAGCUAACGCGUUAAGUCGACCGCCUGGGGAGUACGGCCGCAAGGUUAAAACUCAAAUGAAUUGACGGGGGCCCGCACAAGCGGUGGAGCAUGUGGUUUAAUUCGAUGCAACGCGAAGAACCUUACCUGGUCUUGACAUCCACAGAACUUUCCAGAGAUGGAUUGGUGCCUUCGGGAACUGUGAGACAGGUGCUGCAUGGCUGUCGUCAGCUCGUGUUGUGAAAUGUUGGGUUAAGUCCCGCAACGAGCGCAACCCUUAUCCUUUGUUGCCAGCGGUCCGGCCGGGAACUCAAAGGAGACUGCCAGUGAUAAACCGGAGGAAGGUGGGGAUGACGUCAAGUCAUCAUGGCCCUUACGACCAGGGCUACACACGUGCUACAAUGGCGCAUACAAAGAGAAGCGACCUCGCGAGAGCAAGCGGACCUCAUAAAGUGCGUCGUAGUCCGGAUUGGAGUCUGCAACUCGACUCCAUGAAGUCGGAAUCGCUAGUAAUCGUGGAUCAGAAUGCCACGGUGAAUACGUUCCCGGGCCUUGUACACACCGCCCGUCACGCCAUGGGAGUGGGUUGCAAAAGAAGUAGGUAGCUUAACCUUCGGGAGGGCGCUUACCACUUUGUGAUUCAUGACUGGGGUGAAGUCGUAACAAGGUAACCGUAA